UCCGGAGUAGCUCAGUGGUAGAGCGAUCGGCUGUUAACCGAUUGGUCGUAGGUUCGAGUCCUACCUCCGGAGCCA
This 75-nucleotide transfer RNA is filed under the name Sandaracinus sp. Its description in RNAcentral is "tRNA-Asn". It matches the Rfam family "tRNA". From Rfam's summary of the family: Transfer RNA (tRNA) molecules are approximately 80 nucleotides in length. Their secondary structure includes four short double-helical elements and three loops (D, anti-codon, and T loops). RNAcentral also lists the same sequence under 3 other names. Lineage: Bacteria; Pseudomonadati; Myxococcota; Polyangiales; Sandaracinaceae. The record is from RNAcentral.